GCUACUUAGAUAAUCAUUUGGUUACUGUUAAAUCUAAUAAAAUAAAAUCGUUAAGUUGGAGAAAAUGCUUAAGACUGUCACUCUGAAAAAACUAGUAGCAGACUCUAUAACAUUGAUAAGCGAGGAUGUAGAUACACCUCUCCUGCCUGUUUUAAAACAAAAAUGGGAACAAGAAUUAAAAACAAAAAUUAAUUAUAAAGAGUAGAUUAAUUCAAUAAAAUUGGUAACUAAAAAAGUGCAUUGAAAAAAAAAAAGAAAGUCUGUGAUUGGACAGCCACAGAAAGUCUGACCUGGGGAAGAUCUGCAGCUUUUGCAAGCGAGUUUUUUUACAUAUACCUCCAAUUAAAAAAAAAGCAUGUUUUCACUGGGGGUAUAUCUACUAAACAGUGAUUUUUUUUUUUUUUUAGAUUUAGGCAGUGGAGUGCCCCUCUAAUAGAGUCCAAC
Non-coding RNA from Pelobates cultripes (western spadefoot toad), 444 nucleotides. NCBI's taxonomy places the organism in Eukaryota, Metazoa, Chordata, Amphibia, Anura, Pelobatidae. The record is from the annotation of a GenBank genome assembly.